CCCCGCAUCAUACAAAUGCUCCGAUAAGCGCGAAUUGCCGCAACCAGGCACGAGAAUCUGCACCCAAAAAUUAGGAUGAAGAGUAUUAUCGUGGUCUCCAGUGGGCGGAGCUCCAUCAAGGAGGGAGAGGAGUGGCUGACGGAGCUCAGUCCACUCAGCAUACCACUCGAAAGAGUCAUCGCUGCCCCGAAUUGUGAAAAACUUAUCCCAAUUUUCCUUGCUGGUGAAGUCUCCUAGGGCUUUGAGAAGCUCGUCGGAGGAUGAUUGCGAUGGUUGUUUUUCUCUCUUCCCCAUUUUAGAUUUGAGGUUACUCAGGU
RNAcentral lists this unclassified non-coding RNA (317 nucleotides) under Hevea brasiliensis (rubber tree). Lineage: Eukaryota; Viridiplantae; Streptophyta; Magnoliopsida; Malpighiales; Euphorbiaceae. The record is from RNAcentral.